UGAGGAACAUAGCCAUCGGCGGGGGAUAGCCGGCCCAACGGCCGGGUAAUACCGCGUACGAUCUUCGGGGGGCAUCCUCUGGAGAUGAAAGCAGCAAUGCGCCGAUGGGGUGCCUCGCGGCCUAUCAGCUAGUUGUGAGGUAACGGCUCACCAAGGCUACGACGGGUAGCUGGUCCGAGAGGAUGACCAGCCACAUUGGGACUGAGACACGGCCCAGACUCCGUAGGGAGG
RNAcentral lists this ribosomal RNA (231 nucleotides) under uncultured bacterium. Its description in RNAcentral is "partial 16S ribosomal RNA". It matches the Rfam family "Bacterial small subunit ribosomal RNA", at positions 118 to 348 of the family's 1533-position model. The record is from RNAcentral.